AUUUAAGCGAUGGCAGGUUGGACGAGGAAUGCCGACUUAUUUUUUAAUGCCUGUUUUGAAAGUAUCAAUCCUUUGGCAAGAAGGAUUCCUGGGUAUGCUGAAUUCAUAGGAAUGUCUGCAUUUUAAAUUUUGAACUUUAUAUCCUAUUGCAUUAUGUUACAUCGACUGAUGUGGGAUGAUGAUGAUAUAUGCAGUUUGUAAUGACCCGCUGCUGUGUGUGGUUUGCCACGGGCAGGUAGAUCAAUGUUUUCGAGUGAGAGUGUUGGUUUACUUUUAUUGCCAAACGAAAUCAUCAAGUUGCGGACUAUGAGUGCAGUUAAUUGCACCAGCAUUCUCGUAAGUGUGGUAAAUGCAGAAGGUUUGCAAGCGCGCAGCUGGAGGUCUGUCAAAGUGCGGGUUCUGGCAUCAGGUUCACCGGCAGUGCUCAUGAUUGAGCAGCUGCCUCCACUGUCAUUAUCAUAUGCGCCAGAGAAGAGUUAAUGCAUGGACCGUAGCCCUAUAGUAACUCCAAGUUCUGCUGUGCAUGUCGCGCCAUUCAAGAUCACAGGACUUCCAGCCGUGAUGAUUAAGUAUCAAACGGAUCGGAGCGCCACUGCACUCGUUCAUUCUUGCUUUGGUUUUUAUUCUUUCUCCAAGCCUUCAUCCCAGCAAUGAGGACAAUCCUCCUAGCAGCAAUCAGUGGCACCACAGUUUUCAGCUAGAAUGGAGCUGAUAGUGUAAUUCCCCAGCUAAAUGGAACUAUAGUUCGAUGGAGUAAAGUAACUCAUAUUUGACAUGUUUCCUUAGGACGUAAGGAGAAACUUCUUCACCCAUGGAAUCAGAAUAUUCCGGUCAGUCUUAUUUUCCUAAUUAUUUCCUGUAGCCUGUUCUCUUUGAUGUGGCCAUCAUCUUCCCUGACUCUCCUGCCCCCUCCCCGACCUUUAUUAAGGGCAGUUUACAAUUACCAAUAAACCUGUCAUCUAUAAGACCUCUGGAAGGGUACCAGAACACUCAGGGGAAGUCACGUGGACACAGGGGGCAUGCUGAAGUUGGAUAGAAACAGCUUUGAGUUUUUAAGUGCACUGUUUAAAUUGACUUCACUGUAAAAUAUUCAACUGAUUGCAGUAAGUCAUCCUGUAAAGCCCAUGGUACACAACCCAUUGACAUAGUGCAUUUUGUUUGACUGGCGUGCCACAGUUCAUUGGCUGUGACAUUAGUGUCAACAGACGCUGAAUUUUUGACCACCUGGACUCCGUAGAUUGGAAUUCAUUCCUCGAAACCAUUCUAUCUUCUUCUUCAAAAAAAUGUACUCUUUGACUCGGGUUUUGAUAUCCACCUAACUCUUCCACCACAUCAUUCUAUAAAACAAAUUAGGAUUUUUUAAUAUUAAAAGUGCUAUAAAAUGUACGUUGAUUUGGACCCAGAAAUUUCCAAGAGCUGUUCACGCUUAACUGCUACAGUAGGAUUAAUAUGUGCUGUUAUUUAUUUUGACCAUCCUGACAGUGAAAAAUAAUGGUUUAUGAAGAUGGUGCUAUCUAGAGAUAGUACAAUUUGCAGCUUUCUUAACCAAACUAGUCAUUGAAAGUUAACACUUAAAUUAAGUAAAUAGAUGGUGGAGUCUAGGGGUAGUUCACAGAGCACCAGCAUGGGCAUUUCUGCUAAACCUGGGAUUAUAAUUGUUCCACAUGCCUUUCAAUAUACUUAUCUAGCCUCUAUUUGUUGCAGGUAUUUGUAAAAUCUGCAAUUAUUUCAGCUCUCCUUCAACAUCAGGAUGCACCUCAUUGACUGCAGUUCAGCAUUCAGUACGAACAUCCCCUCAAAACUAAUUAAUAAGCUCCAAGGCACAGGCCUCGUCCUUGUACAAUUGUUCAAUUGGAUCCUUGAUUUCCUCACCCAGAGACCCCAGACAGUUCGGAUUCCCAUAACAUCUCCUCCACAAUCAAUAUCAGCAGGGGUGCACCACAAGGCUGUGUGCUUAGCCCCUGCUCUACUAGCCUUAUACUUAUGACCAUGAGGCUAAGUACAGCUUCAAUGCCAUAUCUGAGUUUGCUGAUGACACCAGUGUUGUUGGCCAAAUCAAAGAUGAGGACAAAUCAGCAUUAAGGAGGGAGACUGAAAAUCUGGCUGAAUGGUGCCACAACAACAAACUCUCACUCAAUGUCAGCAACACCAAGGAGCUGAUUAUUGACCUCAGGAGGAGGAAACCAGAGCUCCAUGAACUAGUCCUCAUCGGGGAAUCAGAGGGAGAGAGGGUCAGCAAUUUUAAAUUUUUUGGUGUUAUCAUUUCAGAGUAUCUGUCUUGGUCCAGCAUGUAAGAGCCAUUACAAAGAAGACACAGCAGUGCCUCUGCUUUGUUAGAAGUUUGCAAAGAAAUGGCAUCAGCAAGGAGGUACAGGAGCUUCAAGUCCCACACCACAAGGUUCAAGAACAGUUAUUACCUCUCAACCAUCAAGCUCUUCAACCAGAGGGGAUAAAUUUACUCAACAUUACUCACCACCCCAACGCUGAACUGAUUCUGCAACCUAUGAACUCACUUUUAAGAAUGCUGCAAGUCAUGUCCUCAUUGUUUAUUGCUUAUUUAUUUAUUAUUGUUAUUUUUGCAUUUGUACAAUUUGUUGUCUUUUACACAUUGGUUGUUUGUCCAUCUUUGUCCUGUGCAGUUUUUCAUUGAUUCUAUUGUGUUUUACUGUAUUUACUGUGAAUACCUGGAAGAAAAUGAAUCUCAGAAUAGUAUAAGGUGAAAUAUAUAGUAUGUACAUUGAUAAUAAAUUUAGAUUGAACUUUGAA
This is a long non-coding RNA of Hypanus sabinus (Atlantic stingray), 2766 nucleotides long. RefSeq lists it as uncharacterized. The record is from RefSeq and is a predicted model, not a curated record. The transcript is spliced from 2 exons. NCBI's taxonomy places the organism in Eukaryota, Metazoa, Chordata, Chondrichthyes, Myliobatiformes, Dasyatidae.